This 468-nucleotide ribosomal RNA is filed under the name uncultured bacterium. RNAcentral's name for it is "partial 16S ribosomal RNA". It matches the Rfam family "Bacterial small subunit ribosomal RNA", at positions 28 to 507 of the family's 1533-position model. The record is from RNAcentral.
GACGAACGCUGGCGGCGUGCUUAACACAUGCAAGUCGAACGGAAAGGCGCUGCUGUUGUGGGGCGCUCGAGUGGCGAACGGGUGAGUAACACGUGAGUAACGUGCCCUUGACUGUGGGAUAAGUUCAGGAAACUGGGGCUAAUACCGGAUAGGAGCACCUGCUGCAUAGCGAGGGGUGGAAAGUUUCGGCGUUUGGGGAUGGACUCGCGGCUGAGCAGCUUGGUGGCGGCGUAGUGGCGUACCAAGGCCUGGACGGGUGGGCGGCCUGAGAGGGUGACCGGCCACAUUGGGACCGGGAUACGGCCCAUACCCCUACGGGAGGGAACCGUGGGGAAUAUUGCACCAUGGGCGGAAGCCUCAUGCACAGACGUCCCGUGCGCAAUAUCGGCCUUCGGGUAAUAAACAGCUUUUUCCUGUGACGAGGCGUGAAUGACGGUACCGACUGAAGAAGCACCGGCUAACUACGUG